Molecule: ribosomal RNA, 662 nt
Filed under: Encyocratella olivacea
Lineage: Eukaryota; Metazoa; Arthropoda; Arachnida; Araneae; Theraphosidae
Description: SSU rRNA
Rfam family: Eukaryotic small subunit ribosomal RNA
Source: RNAcentral
AAAAGCUCGUAGUUGGAUCUCAGUUCCAGACGGGCGGUCCGCCUAACGGUGGUUACUGCCUGGCCUGAACAGCCAGCCGGUUUCCCUCGAUGAUCUUCACCGGUUGUCCCGGGUGACCGGCACGUUUACUUUGAAAAAAUUAGAGUGCUCAAAGCAGGCGCGUAGCCUGGAUAAUGGUGCAUGGAAUAAUGGAAUAGGACUUCGUUUCUAUUUUGUUGGUUUUCGGAACACGAGGUAAUGAUUAAGAGGGACAGACGGGGGCAUUCGUAUUGCGACGCUAGAGGUGAAAUUCUUGGACCGUCGCAAGACGAACUACUGCGAAAGCAUUUGCCAAGAAUGUUUUCAUUAAUCAAGAACGAAAGUUAGAGGUUCGAAGGCGAUCAGAUACCGCCCUAGUUCUAACCAUAAACGAUGCCAACCAGCGAUCCGCCUGAGUUCCUCAAAUGACUCGGCGGGCAGCUUCCGGGAAACCAAAGUGUUUGGGUUCCGGGGGAAGUAUGGUUGCAAAGCUGAAACUUAAAGGAAUUGACGGAAGGGCACUACCAGAUGUGGAGCCUGCGGUUUAAUUUGACUCAACACGGGGCAACUUACCCGGCCCGGACACUGGAAGGAUUGACAGAUUAAGAGCUCUUUCUUGAUUCAGUGGGUGGUGGUGCAUGGCC